CGACCUGCCAUUGGGUAAACGCAAGGGAGGAGAAAAGAAUCAGCUGCUUCCCCAAGGAGCCAAGGGUACUUUUAAUGGAAAAUGAUAUUAGAAAUCAAGAUUUGGACAUUUGGGAUGUUGUUGCUUCUAGACACUCUCAGCUGACAGAGCAAGGAAAUAUUUGUGCAUAUGCUGACCUGACUAAAUACGCAUAUCUGCUCCAUACCUACCUAACAUCUAUCUUUUCAAGAACUCUGCCAGGGAAGGAGUAGUUUCUGUGUUUCAUAAACAGACUGAGACUCAAAGAGGCUAAGUAAACUACCUGAAGCCAUAUAGCAACACACAAUGACGGAUGUGAGAUUCAAACUUGGAUUUAUCUGGCUCCAAAAUUUCUAGGUUUUUAUUUUUUCCCCCCCACUACAGCAAAACUAAGGAGAAGAGACAGAGGUGAACAGCUGUCUCUCAGUGGUUAUUCUAUUUUCCCUUAUCUACAUGUUUUCCUCCUUUCACUCUCUCGGUUUGUUCUUAUCCUUCAGAGGUAAAGAGGAGCCUUCAGAGAGCUAUAAA
Molecule: long non-coding RNA, 546 nt
Filed under: Pan troglodytes (chimpanzee)
Lineage: Eukaryota; Metazoa; Chordata; Mammalia; Primates; Hominidae
Description: long non-coding RNA NONPTRT010794
Source: RNAcentral